GGGCCCGCACAAGCGGUGGAGCAUGUGGUUUAAUUCGACGCAACGCGAAGAACCUUACCAGGGCUUGACAUCCUCUGACAGCGUAUGAAAGUGCGUUUUUUAUCUUCGGAUAGACAGAGAGACAGGUGGUGCAUGGUUGUCGUCAGCUCGUGUCGUGAGAUGUUGGGUUAAGUCCCGCAACGAGCGCAACCCCUACGUUUAGUUGCUAACACAUAAAGGUGAGCACUCUAGAAGAACUGCCGUUGACAAAACGGAGGAAGGUGGGGAUGACGUCAAAUCAUCAUGCCCCUUAUGUCCUGGGCUACACACGUGCUACAAUGGCCGGUACAAAGGGAAGCGAAGCCGCGAGGCGGAGCAAAUCCGAAAAAAGCCGGUCUCAGUUCGGAUUGCAGGCUGCAAUUCGCCUGCAUGAAGUCGGAAUCGCUAGUAAUCGCAGGUCAGCAUACUGCGGUGAAUACGUUCCCGGGCCUU
This 471-nucleotide ribosomal RNA is filed under the name uncultured bacterium. Its description in RNAcentral is "bacterial SSU rRNA". It matches the Rfam family "Bacterial small subunit ribosomal RNA", at positions 917 to 1382 of the family's 1533-position model. The record is from RNAcentral.